This 253-nucleotide ribosomal RNA is filed under the name uncultured bacterium. RNAcentral describes it as "partial 16S ribosomal RNA". It matches the Rfam family "Bacterial small subunit ribosomal RNA", at positions 524 to 776 of the family's 1533-position model. The record is from RNAcentral.
UACGAAGGGGGCUAGCGUUGCUCGGAAUUGCUGGGCGUAAAGCGCACGUAGGCGGCUUUCUAAGUCGGGGGUGAAAUCCUGGAGCUCAACUCCAGAACUGCCUUCGAUACUGGAGAGCUCGAGUCCGGGAGAGGUGAGUGGAACUGCGAGUGUAGAGGUGAAAUUCGUAGAUAUUCGCAAGAGCACCAGUGGCGAAGGCGGCUCACUGGCCCGGUACUGACGCUGAGGUGCGAAAGCGUGGGGAGCAAACAGG